GAUGAAGAACGUAGCGAAAUGCGAUACGUAAUGUGAAUUGCAGAAUUCAGUGAAUCAUCGAGUCUUUGAACGCCCAUUGCGCCCCCUGGUAUUCCGGGGGGCAUGCCUGUCCGAGCGUCAUUGCUGCCCUCAAGCACGGCUUGUGUGUUGGGCCUCCGUCCUCCUCCCGGGGGACGGGCCCGAAAGGCAGCGGCGGCACCGCGUCCGGUCCUCGAGCGUAUGGGGCUUCGUCACCCGCUCUUGUAGGCCCGGCCGGCGCUUGCCGACACAUCAAUCUUUUUUCCAGGUUGACCUCGGAUCAGGUAGGGAUACCCGCUGAACUUAAGCAUAUCAAUAAGCGGAGGA
RNAcentral lists this unclassified non-coding RNA (345 nucleotides) under soil metagenome. Its description in RNAcentral is "partial contains 5.8S ribosomal RNA, internal transcribed spacer 2, and large subunit ribosomal RNA". The stretch from base 1 to 120 matches the Rfam family "5.8S ribosomal RNA", at positions 35 to 154 of the family's 154-position model. The record is from RNAcentral.